This 1580-nucleotide long non-coding RNA is filed under the name Ceratitis capitata (Mediterranean fruit fly). Its description in RNAcentral is "uncharacterized LOC110118495". The record is from RNAcentral. Lineage: Eukaryota; Metazoa; Arthropoda; Insecta; Diptera; Tephritidae.
GCGAAUAUAUGACACAUCUCUACUCAAAAUUAAUUCGUUGAAAAUAUUGAAAUGCAACGAAUAUUUAUUAAAUAAAAGUGAAGUGAAAAUGUCUGCCUGUAAAAGUGGUAGUGAAAGAAAUUAAUUGUGUGAUAAAUUGAAGCAAAAAAGAUAGUAAAGAAAAACUUGUUCCCGUGUGAAACUAGAUAAAACAAAAGAAAAAUGUGUUUAACAUUGCCGGAUUUAUUUAAGUACUACAAAAUCACUGUGUGUUUGCUAAUCUAUUACUAAGGACAUAAAUAAAAGAAAGAAAAUGACGGCUCGCUACUCCAACGCAUGCGUAUAGUCCUUCAAGCUCAUUUGGUGAAUAAACCUGUAAAGCGUUAAGCAGAAUUUCGCAAUCUGGAAAUGAAAAAAAAAAAUAUUAUUUAAAUUUUAUACAAGCAACAUCUCACUUUCGCCUACUCACUCUAACAAAAGUCGCCGAAAUGACUGGUAUGUUCCAUGGGCUUUUGAGUGUCUUGUAAGAAAAUAAGUAAAAAUCUGCGAAAAUCUUAAAAUCUAAAACAUAUCUGCCAGCUUGCGUUCGGGAUCAGUGCCUAAGUUACGAAGCGAUAUGAGAAUAUUGCCAAUCUUGAGCGUGGAAAAGUCCAUUUGUAAAAUAAAAGCGCCCCUAGAGCUGACGCAAUGUUGGGCAAUUGGGUUUGCCACUACAACUUGUUGCUUAUCAAAUACCUUGCAGACAGCUGGCAGUAGGUCCGAGUUAAGCUCCUCUUCGAUAUAAUCUACCAUUGACUUUAAUAAUUGGCGCUGCGUCGGUGUGCUUGCCUAGCAGCCUUUACAGUAUACUACGCAACCAGUGAUCCAUGAACGCAGACUCCCUUAUUGUCAAAAGAGUACAGUAUAGUAUAAUUUUCACGUCUCACAAGGGCGUUGCAAUACUCUUGGGAGGAUAUAAUUGCUAUGAAGCUACGGCUGAUGUCUCCUUGCGCUUAAAUUAGAUUUUGGCAUGUCCGCCGAGUCGGCUUUAGGAGUCUUCGAGAGAAGGUUUGAAGAAAAUAUUUGCAGUUAUCUACGAACUGGCGACACUGAGUACAGCAGGCAAUAGAAAUAUGCUAUUUGAGAAUUCGACGAGGCGAUUACGAUGAGGAGACAACGACUACGUUGGCCAGCAGAGGAAGAAGACAUGUAAUCCGUUGUAAAAACUGGAUGUAGCAAGAUCUGGCUUCGUAUGGUAUCUCCACCACAAGCACUGUGAGAACUAGUCACAUUCAAAUACGCCAAUGACGAUGAAGAAGAAGAGACUAUAAAACGCCAGACAGGCAUCACUAACUCGCCAGCCAGUUUGUGUGCGUCACCCUUGCAAAGCAAGCAUAAAUCAAUUGUGAGAGGUUUUCUAGUCUAUUUUCGGCACUACGUCUAUUUGCUUUACUAAAACUGGCUGAAUUGAAAAGUUUUUGGACCUUAGAGACCUUCGAGUCUUUCCUUUACGCCCAUAUUGUUGAUAAAACUAUAAAGGGUAAAUGAGAACUUGGCGAUCUGUAAGAGAAAGAGAUAAAAAGAAAACAGAACGAGUGAGAGGAAGCGGUAAACGGUUUUUU